AGCGAACGCUGGCGGCAGGCUUAACACAUGCAAGUCGAGCGGGCGUAGCAAUACGUCAGCGGCAGACGGGUGAGUAACGCGUGGGAACGUACCUUUUGGUUCGGAACAACACAGGGAAACUUGUGCUAAUACCGGAUAAGCCCUUACGGGGAAAGAUUUAUCGCCGAAAGAUCGGCCCGCGUCUGAUUAGCUAGUUGGUGAGGUAACGGCUCACCAAGGCGACGAUCAGUAGCUGGUCUGAGAGGAUGAUCAGCCACAUUGGGACUGAGACACGGCC
RNAcentral lists this ribosomal RNA (277 nucleotides) under uncultured bacterium. RNAcentral's name for it is "partial 16S ribosomal RNA". It matches the Rfam family "Bacterial small subunit ribosomal RNA", at positions 29 to 331 of the family's 1533-position model. The record is from RNAcentral.